RNAcentral lists this ribosomal RNA (151 nucleotides) under uncultured Enterococcus sp. Its description in RNAcentral is "partial 16S ribosomal RNA". It matches the Rfam family "Bacterial small subunit ribosomal RNA", at positions 339 to 481 of the family's 1533-position model. Lineage: Bacteria; Bacillati; Bacillota; Bacilli; Lactobacillales; Enterococcaceae. The record is from RNAcentral.
UUACGGGAGGCAGCAGUAGGGAAUCUUCGGCAAUGGACGAAAGUCUGACCGAGCAACGCCGCGUGAGUGAAGAAGGUUUUCGGAUCGUAAAACUCUGUUGUUAGAGAAGAACAAGGAUGAGAGUAAAACGUUCAUCCCUUGACGGUAUCUA